This 507-nucleotide ribosomal RNA is filed under the name uncultured bacterium. Its description in RNAcentral is "partial 16S ribosomal RNA". It matches the Rfam family "Bacterial small subunit ribosomal RNA", at positions 899 to 1397 of the family's 1533-position model. The record is from RNAcentral.
ACUCAAAUGAAUAGACGGGGGCUCACACAAGCGGUGGAGCAUGUGGCUUAAUUCGAAGCAACGCGAAGAACCUGACCCAGGUUUGACAUGCUAGGAUUAGUCUCCUGAAAGGGAGAUGACGCGGCUUGCCGUGGAACUAGUACAGGUGCUGCAUGGCUGUCGUCAGCUCGUGUCGUGAGACGUCGGGUUAAGUCCCAUAACGAGCGAAACCCUUGUCGUUAGUUGCCAGCGGGUCAAGCCGGGCACUCUAACGAGACUGCCGGUGUUAAACCGGAGGAAGGCGAGGACGACGUCAAGUCAUCAUGGCCCUUAUGCCUGGGGUUGCACACGUGCUACAAUGGGGUGUUACAGAGCGAUCCGAGGCCGCGAGGUGGAGGAAAUCGCAGAAAACACCCCCCAGUUCAGAUUGCAGGCUGCAACCCGCCUGCAUGAAGUUGGAAUCGCUAGUAAUCGCGCAUCAGCUAUGGCGCGGUGAAUAUGUUCCUGAGCCUUGCACACACCGCCCGU